UAGGGCUUUAUCUUAAUUUAAAGAACUUAAUUUGCAUUUAAGAUAUGUAGGUUGGUAUCCUGCAAGUCCU
Molecule: transfer RNA, 70 nt
Filed under: Rhacophorus catamitus
Lineage: Eukaryota; Metazoa; Chordata; Amphibia; Anura; Rhacophoridae
Description: tRNA-Ala
Rfam family: tRNA
About the family: Transfer RNA (tRNA) molecules are approximately 80 nucleotides in length. Their secondary structure includes four short double-helical elements and three loops (D, anti-codon, and T loops).
Source: RNAcentral